UACGUAGGGUGCAAGCGUUGUCCGGAAUUAUUGGGCGUAAAGAGCUCGUAGGCGGUCUGUUGCGUCGGCUGUGAAAACCCGGGGCUCAACUCCGGGCCUGCAGCCGAUACGGGCAGACUAGAGUUCGGCAGGGGAGACUGGAAUUCCUGGUGUAGCGGUGAAAUGCGCAGAUAUCAGGAGGAACACCGGUGGCGAAGGCAGGUCUCUGGGCCGAUACUGACGCUGAGGAGCGAAAGCGUGGGGAGCGAACAGG
Molecule: ribosomal RNA, 253 nt
Filed under: uncultured bacterium
Lineage: Bacteria
Description: partial 16S ribosomal RNA
Rfam family: Bacterial small subunit ribosomal RNA
Source: RNAcentral